UCCGUAGGCGGGUAAUUAAGUCAGAGGUGAAAUCCCACAGCUUAACUGUGGAACUGCCUUAGAUACUGGUUAUCUUAAGUUUUAGUGAAGUAGAUAGAAUGUGUAGUGUAGCGGUGAAAUGCAUAGAUAUUACACAGAAUACCGAUUGCGAAGGCAGUCUACUAACUAACAACUGACGCUAAUGGACGAAAGCGUGGGGAGCGAACAGGAUUAGAUACCCUGGUAGUCC
RNAcentral lists this ribosomal RNA (229 nucleotides) under uncultured bacterium. Its description in RNAcentral is "partial 16S ribosomal RNA". It matches the Rfam family "Bacterial small subunit ribosomal RNA", at positions 568 to 796 of the family's 1533-position model. The record is from RNAcentral.